UGAGUUUAGUGACGGUGACAUGCUUCGAUUUUUAAUAUACUGUUGCCAUGUAUUUGAAGUUUGAAGUCAUUUGCUAGUGCUUUUCUGUAAAAAUUGUCUAGAUGGGCUUGAUCAUUUUCCAGACUUUGGCAUGUCAUUUUCCAAAUUUUAUUUUAUUUCCAGAAAAACUGUUUAAAGUUUAAAUAAAAAUUAUUAAGUAUAUAUUUUUAAAAUGAUUGUACUGUGGCGGAAUUUGAAUUUGAAUUUGAAUUUAUUGAUGUAAAAUUAAAAUAUGAAUUACGAUGUUAGGUUUACAUGUAUGAGUAGUAAAUACUUCUUGUCAUCCGUUUUCUUGGUCAACAAACGGGAAUUUGAUCUUAAAGAUCCUUAAGAUUAAAAUACGAAUGAAGUUAGGUUUACAUGGUCAUGUUUUUGCAAAGUCAAAAUUUCAUCUGCUUUUCUUUUUGGUUUGAUCUGUUUUUUGGUUGGUGAGAAAGUGAAUGAAAAGUUGCUGAAAAUGAAUUGAAUUGAAUUUGUUGGUUGAUGUAAAAUGAAUUGAAAAUGAACUGUGGCGGGGUUUUGUUUUUCGUAGAGUUUCGGUUAGUAAAAAUACAUUUUGUAAGCUCAUGGGAUCAAUAUCUAUAAUUAAUAUUAUGUAUAAUAUUGAUAUUUCUUGUGAAUUUACAGAUCAUAUCUCUAUUGGUCGAGGUAUUCCUUAAAUUCAGUGAACCUAAUGAGCUCUCGAACACUGUUUUAAAUUCUCUUAGUAAAACACUGUUUUAAAUUCUCUAAUAAGGAGCCUAUCUACAUUUAUAUCCAUAUGUUAUUUCUUCUUGUAUGAAAACAGACCAAGCAAGUUUUAAUGAACAUAAGAGAAAUAGGACUUUGAUAAUGAAAUGAUUUUGAUACGUCUAAGAACAUGUUCACUACUGGUCCAAAAAAACAAACAACCAACCCUCUGUAGCAGUCAUGACAAUCCCAGUACCAGCUCUUUGAAAAAUCGAGUCUUUUAUUGUAGCAAAGGUCGUUUAACUGGCAUUCAC
Molecule: long non-coding RNA, 1022 nt
Filed under: Gossypium raimondii (Peruvian cotton)
Lineage: Eukaryota; Viridiplantae; Streptophyta; Magnoliopsida; Malvales; Malvaceae
Description: long non-coding RNA (GRAI_LNC002336)
Source: RNAcentral